RNAcentral lists this ribosomal RNA (484 nucleotides) under uncultured bacterium. Its description in RNAcentral is "partial 16S ribosomal RNA". It matches the Rfam family "Bacterial small subunit ribosomal RNA", at positions 30 to 507 of the family's 1533-position model. The record is from RNAcentral.
AUUGAACGCUGGCGGCAGGCCUAACACAUGCAAGUCGAGCGGAUGAAGGGAGCUUGCUCCUGGAUUCAGCGGCGGACGGGUGAGUAAUGCCUAGGAAUCUGCCUGGUAGUGGGGGAUAACGUCCGGAAACGGGCGCUAAUACCGCAUACGUCCUGAGGGAGAAAGUGGGGGAUCUUCGGACCUCACGCUAUCAGAUGAGCCUAGGUCGGAUUAGCUAGUUGGUGGGGUAAAGGCCUACCAAGGCUACGAUCCGUAACUGGUCUGAGAGGAUGAUCAGUCACAGUGGAAGGGAAACACGCUCGAGACUACAGCGGGAGGAACAAGGGGGGAAUUUUGGACAGGGGGAGAAAUCUUGACCCAGCCUGGCGGGGGGGGGGAAGAAGUUUUGCGGUUUGUAAAGCCGUUUAAGUGGGGAGGAAGGCCAAUAAUUAAAUACCUUGUUUUUUUGACGUAACCAAAAAAAAAAGCACGGGCUAACUUCGUG